This is a non-coding RNA of Petromyzon marinus (sea lamprey), 74 nucleotides long. The record is from Rfam. NCBI's taxonomy places the organism in Eukaryota, Metazoa, Chordata, Hyperoartia, Petromyzontiformes, Petromyzontidae.
GCCGGCGAUCCUUACCAGGCAAGCUUAGAUUCCUCUGCUGAUCCUAUCUAAUACUGUCUGGUUAUGUCGCCGGC